AACGCACGAGACCUGCGGACCUGCGGAGGGAUCAUUAAUGAGAAACUGCCCCUCGCGGGUAGAUCUCCCACCCUUUGUAAACUUACCUUUGUUGCUUUGGCAGGCCCGUCUCCGGACCGCUGGCUUCGGCUGGCCAGUGCCUGCCAGAGGAUUCUAAAACUCUGUCUGUCAGUGUUGUCUGAGUCUAUAUACAAUCGUUAAAACUUUUAACAAUGGAUCUCUAGAUCGGAAGAGCACACG
This 240-nucleotide unclassified non-coding RNA is filed under the name soil metagenome. RNAcentral's name for it is "partial contains 5.8S ribosomal RNA, internal transcribed spacer 2, and large subunit ribosomal RNA". The record is from RNAcentral.